Molecule: transfer RNA, 71 nt
Filed under: Candidatus Staskawiczbacteria bacterium
Lineage: Bacteria; Candidatus Staskawicziibacteriota
Description: tRNA-Trp
Rfam family: tRNA
About the family: Transfer RNA (tRNA) molecules are approximately 80 nucleotides in length. Their secondary structure includes four short double-helical elements and three loops (D, anti-codon, and T loops). Further hydrogen bonds mediate the characteristic L-shaped molecular structure. tRNAs have two regions of fundamental functional importance: the anti-codon, which is responsible for specific mRNA codon recognition, and the 3' end, to which the tRNAs corresponding amino acid is attached (by aminoacyl-tRNA synthetases). tRNAs cope with the degeneracy of the genetic code in two manners: having more than one tRNA (with a specific anti-codon) for a particular amino acid; and 'wobble' base-pairing, i.e. permitting non-standard base-pairing at the 3rd anti-codon position.
Source: RNAcentral
GGGGGCUUAGUUUAAUGGUAAAAUUGCGGUCUCCAAAACCGCUGAUGGGGGUUCGAUUCCCUCAGCCCCUG